This 253-nucleotide ribosomal RNA is filed under the name uncultured bacterium. RNAcentral describes it as "partial 16S ribosomal RNA". It matches the Rfam family "Bacterial small subunit ribosomal RNA", at positions 524 to 776 of the family's 1533-position model. The record is from RNAcentral.
UACGAGGGGGGCAAGCGUUGUUCGGAAUUAUUGGGCGUAAAGGGCGCGUAGGCGGCGCGGUAAGUCACCAGUGAAAUCUCCGGGCUCAACUCGGAGCCUGCUGGCGAAACUGCCGUGCUGGAGUAUGGGAGGGGUGCGUGGAAUUCCCGGUGUAGCGGUGAAAUGCGUAGAUAUCUGCAGGAACACCCGUGGCGAAGGCGGCUGACUGGAUCGCAACUGACACUGAGGAACGAAAGCUAGGGGAGCAAACAGG